RNAcentral lists this ribosomal RNA (301 nucleotides) under uncultured bacterium. Its description in RNAcentral is "partial 16S ribosomal RNA". It matches the Rfam family "Bacterial small subunit ribosomal RNA", at positions 509 to 807 of the family's 1533-position model. The record is from RNAcentral.
CAGCCGCCGCGGUAAUACGUAGGGUGCAAGCGUUAAUCGGAAUUACUGGGCGUAAAGCGUGCGCAGGCGGUUUUGCAAGUCAGAUGUGAAAUCCCCGGGCUCAACCUGGGAACUGCAUUUGAAACUACAAGGCUAGAGUGUGUCAGAGGGGGGUAGAAUUCCACGUGUAGCAGUGAAAUGCGUAGAGAUGUGGAGGAAUACCGAUGGCGAAGGCAGCCCCCUGGGAUAACACUGACGCUCAUGCACGAAAGCGUGGGGAGCAGACAGGAUUAGAUACCCCUGUAGUCCCUGUCUCUUAUAC